This 479-nucleotide ribosomal RNA is filed under the name uncultured bacterium. RNAcentral's name for it is "partial 16S ribosomal RNA". It matches the Rfam family "Bacterial small subunit ribosomal RNA", at positions 28 to 507 of the family's 1533-position model. The record is from RNAcentral.
GACGAACGCUGGCGGCGCGCUUAACACAUGCAAGUCGAGCGAUGAAAUUUCGACAGAUCCCUUCGGGGUGAAGAUGAAAUGGAUUAGCGGCGGACGGGUGAGUAACACGUGAGUAACCUGCCUUUGACAUUGGGAUAGCCUCGGGAAACUGGGAUUAAUACCAAAUGACACUAACUGAUCACAUGAUCAAUUAGUCAAAGAAAUUCGGUCAAAGAUGGACUCGCGGCUGAUUAGCUAGUUGGUGAGGUAACGGCCCACCAAGGCGACGAUCAGUAGCCGGCCUGAGAGGGUGAUCGGCCACAUUGGAACUGAGACACGGUCCAAACUCCUACGGGAGGCAGCAGUGGGGAAUAUUGCACAAUGGGGGAAACCCUGAUGCAGCGACGCCGCGUGAGCGAAGAAGGCCUUCGGGUCGUAAAGCUCUUCUAUGAGGGAAGAUAAUGACGGUACCUCAAGAAAAAGCCCCGGCUAACUACGUG